RNAcentral lists this long non-coding RNA (332 nucleotides) under Chloebia gouldiae (Gouldian finch). Its description in RNAcentral is "Erythrura gouldiae (Gouldian finch) lncRNA (ENSEGOG00005006793.1)". Lineage: Eukaryota; Metazoa; Chordata; Aves; Passeriformes; Passeridae. The record is from RNAcentral.
CUUUUUUUAUGCCUUGGGAGAAGUCCUGUGCUGCAGACCCUUCGCUGGCUGCGAUGUUGUGCUUGGAACGAGCCCCUGUUUAGGCUGUCGGUGGCGGAACCCCGGGUUCCUGCUCGGAAAGAGCAGCAGCCUGCUAUCAUCAGCCUCAGCGUGACGGCGCCGGCCAGAUGCGAAUGCAGAACCCACCAAGCUGCAUUUGCUGAAUUUUACUGCAUCCACACAAGCCUACCUUGAUGAGGAGUGAAAUCCUGAAGGAUUUGGGACAGCAUGUCUGCUCCCUGCAGAGCUGGGAAAUAAGACUGAGGUUUGGUACCCACAUAACUCUGUUCCCU